GCUUUCUGUAUGGGUUGAAGUCGUACCGUAAGGAGCGGUGGACUGUACAGAAGUGAGAAUGCUGGCAUAAGUAGCGAGAAAUAAGUGAGAAUCUUAUUGGCCGAAAACCUAAGGUUUCCUGAGGAAGGUUCGUCCGCUCAGGGUUAGUCGGGACCUAAGCCGAGGCCGAAAGGCGUAGGUGAUGGACAAUCGGUUGAUAUUCCGAUACCACCUAUUUACGUUUGAGAAAUGGGGUGACGCAGUAGGAUAAGAUGUGCGCACUAUUGGAUGUGCGUCUAAGCACUUAGGCAUGCUUGAUAGGCAAAUCCGUCGAGCUAAGCUGAGGUGUGAUGGGGAGCCAUUUAUGGCGAAGUAUCUGAUUCCACACUGCCAAGAAAAGCCUCUAUCGAGUGAAUAGGUGCCCGUACCGCAAACCGACACAGGUAGGUGAGGAGAGAAUCCUAAGGCCAUCGGAAGAAUUGCUGUUAAGGAACUCGGCAAAUUGACCCCGUAACUUCGGGAGAAGGGGUGCCUACGAAAGUAGGCCGCAGAGAAUAGGCCCAAGCAACUGUUUAGCAAAAACACAGGUCUCUGCUAAAGCGAAAGCUGAUGUAUAGGGGCUGACGCCUGCCCGGUGCUGGAAGGUUAAGGGGAACACUUAGCGUAAGCGAAGGUGUGAACUUAAGCCCCAGUAAACGGCGGCCGUAACUAUAACGGUCCUAAGGUAGCGAAAUUCCUUGUCGGGUAAGUUCCGACCCGCACGAAUGGCGUAAUGAUUUGGGCACUGUCUCAACAGCAAAUCCGGCGAAAUUGUAGUGCAAGUGAAGAUGCUUGCUACCCGCGAUUGGACGGAAAGACCCCGUAGAGCUUUACUGUAGCUUAGCAUUGAAUCUCGGUAUUGUCUGUACAGGAUAGGUGGGAGACUUGGAAACUUGGGCGUCAGCCUGAGUGGAGUCAUCCUUGGGAUACCACCCUGACAGUACUGGGGUUCUAACCGGCGGCCAUGAAUCUGGUCACGGGACAUUGUUAGGUGGGCAGUUUGACUGGGGCGGUCGCCUCCUAAAAAGUAACGGAGGCGCCCAAAAGUUCCCUCAGCGCGGUCGGAAAUCGCGCGAAGAGUGCAAAGGCAGAAGGGAGCUUGACUGCGACACAUACAGGUGGAGCAGGGACGAAAGUCGGGCUUAGUGAUCCGGUGGUACCUCGUGGGAGGGCCAUCGCUCAACGGAUAAAAGCUACCUCGGGGAUAACAGGCUGAUCUCCCCCAAGAGUCCACAUCGACGGGGAGGUUUGGCACCUCGAUGUCGGCUCGUCGCAUCCUGGGGCUGAAGUAGGUCCCAAGGGUUGGGCUGUUCGCCCAUUAAAGCGGCACGCGAGCUGGGUUCAGAACGUCGUGAGACAGUUCGGUCCCUAUCCGUCGCGGGCGUAGGAAAUUUGAGAGGAGCUGUCCUUAGUACGAGAGGACCGGGAUGGACCAACCUCUGGUGCACCAGUUGUCACGCCAGUGGCACAGCUGGGUAGCUAUGUUGGGACUGGAUAAACGCUGAAAGCAUCUAAGCGUGAAGCCAACCUCAAGAUGAGAUUUCCCAUAGCGUAAGCUAGU
RNAcentral lists this ribosomal RNA (1579 nucleotides) under Clostridium botulinum. Its description in RNAcentral is "bacterial LSU rRNA". It matches the Rfam family "Bacterial large subunit ribosomal RNA", at positions 1236 to 2829 of the family's 2925-position model. Lineage: Bacteria; Bacillati; Bacillota; Clostridia; Eubacteriales; Clostridiaceae. The record is from RNAcentral.